GGGCCUUUAGCUCAGCUGGCUAGAGCGCUUCCAUGGCAUGGAAGAGGUCAAGGGUUCAAAUCCCUUAAGGUCCACCA
This 77-nucleotide transfer RNA is filed under the name Candidatus Magasanikbacteria bacterium CG10_big_fil_rev_8_21_14_0_10_36_32. Its description in RNAcentral is "tRNA-Ala". It matches the Rfam family "tRNA". From Rfam's summary of the family: Transfer RNA (tRNA) molecules are approximately 80 nucleotides in length. RNAcentral also lists the same sequence under 2 other names. Lineage: Bacteria; Candidatus Magasanikiibacteriota. The record is from RNAcentral.